This 87-nucleotide transfer RNA is filed under the name Candidatus Azambacteria bacterium RIFCSPHIGHO2_01_FULL_40_24. RNAcentral describes it as "tRNA-Leu". It matches the Rfam family "tRNA". From Rfam's summary of the family: Transfer RNA (tRNA) molecules are approximately 80 nucleotides in length. Lineage: Bacteria; Candidatus Azamiibacteriota. The record is from RNAcentral.
GCGCGGGUGCUGUAAUCGGUAGCCAGGCCAGCUUGAGGUGCUGGUGUCCGCAAGGACGUGGAGGUUCGAGUCCUCUCCCGCGCACCA